Molecule: long non-coding RNA, 220 nt
Filed under: Pan troglodytes (chimpanzee)
Lineage: Eukaryota; Metazoa; Chordata; Mammalia; Primates; Hominidae
Description: long non-coding RNA NONPTRT001666
Source: RNAcentral
CAAGUCUUUUGAGAUCGGAUGGUUUCAUAAAACAGAGUUUCCCUGCCUGUCGCCAUGCAAGACAUGACUUUGCUCCUCCUUCACCUUCUGCCGUGAUUGUCAGGCCUCUCCAGCCGUGUGGAACUGUGAGUCCAUUGAAUCUCUUUUUCUUUAUAAAUUACCCAGCCUCGGGUUUGUCUUUAUUCGCAGCUUGAAAACGGACUAAUACAAAAGAGUACAU